AAAACUGGUAGAGGAUGCGACUUUCAAAAGUAUGUGCGGAUGAGGCUCAGCCAGAGCCGACAGAAUGCGCGCAGAAAGGGGAAGCCGCCGAAGCUGAACGGGUGGCGCCCGCGAUGCUGGGGGUACGUUUAAGAAAUGUACAACUGUCAUCAUGCAAUGUGAUGGAGGGCUAUCGACGAA
The sequence is a regulatory RNA element, 180 nucleotides long. It matches the Rfam family "Lysine riboswitch aptamer". Rfam says of the family: Riboswitches are metabolite binding domains within certain messenger RNAs that serve as precision sensors for their corresponding targets. Allosteric rearrangement of mRNA structure is mediated by ligand binding, and this results in modulation of gene expression. The record is from Rfam.